Molecule: ribosomal RNA, 473 nt
Filed under: uncultured bacterium
Lineage: Bacteria
Description: SSU rRNA
Rfam family: Bacterial small subunit ribosomal RNA
Source: RNAcentral
AGGACGAACGCUGGCGGCGUGCUUAACACAUGCAAGUCGAGCGGAAAGGCCCUUCGGGGUACUCGAGCGGCGAACGGGUGAGUAACACGUGAGUAACCUGCCCCUAGCUCUGGGAUAGCUCCGGGAAACCGGGAUUAAUACCAGAUACGACCACUUUAGACAUCUGUCGUGGUGGAAAGGAUUCCGGCUAGGGAUGGGCUCGCGGCCUAUCAGCUUGUUGGUGGGGUAACGGCCUACCAAGGCGACGACGGUAGCCGGCCUGAGAGGGCGACCGGCCACACUGGGACUGAGACACGGCCCAGACUCCUACGGGAGGCAGCAGUGGGGAAUAUUGCGCAAUGGGCGAAAGCCUGACGCAGCGACGCCGCGUGGGGGAUGAAGGCCUUCGGGUUGUAAACCCCCUUCAGCAGGGACGAAGCGAAAGUGACGGUACCUGCAGAAGAAGCGCCGGCUAACUACGCGCCAGCAGCCGC